AUUGAACGCUGGCGGCAGGCCUAACACAUGCAAGUCGAGCGGUAGCACAGAGAGCUUGCUCUCGGGUGACGAGCGGCGGACGGGUGAGUAAUGUCUGGGAAACUGCCUGAUGGAGGGGGAUAACUACUGGAAACGGUAGCUAAUACCGCAUAACGUCGCAAGACCAAAGUGGGGGACCUUCGGGCCUCAUGCCAUCAGAUGUGCCCAGAUGGGAUUAGCUAGUAGGUGGGGUAACGGCUCACCUAGGCGACGAUCCCUAGCUGGUCUGAGAGGAUGACCAGCCACACUGGAACUGAGACACGGUCCAGACUCCUACGGGAGGCAGCAGUGGGGAAUAUUGCACAAUGGGCGCAAGCCUGAUGCAGCCAUGCCGCGUGUGUGAAGAAGGCCUUCGGGUUGUAAAGCACUUUCAGCGGGGAGGAAGGCGAUAAGGUUAAUAACCUCAUCGAUUGACGUUACCCGCAGAAGAAGCACCGGCUAACUCCGUGCCAGCAGCCGCGGUAAUACGGAGGGUGCAAGCGUUAAUCGGAAUUACUGGGCGUAAAGCGCACGCAGGCGGUCUGUCAAGUCGGAUGUGAAAUCCCCGGGCUCAACCUGGGAACUGCAUUCGAAACUGGCAGGCUAGAGUCUUGUAGAGGGGGGUAGAAUUCCAGGUGUAGCGGUGAAAUGCGUAGAGAUCUGGAGGAAUACCGGUGGCGAAGGCGGCCCCCUGGACAAAGACUGACGCUCAGGUGCGAAAGCGUGGGGAGCAAACAGGAUUAGAUACCCUGGUAGUCCACGCCGUAAACGAUGUCGAUUUGGAGGUUGUGCCCUUGAGGCGUGGCUUCCGGAGCUAACGCGUUAAAUCGACCGCCUGGGGAGUACGGCCGCAAGGUUAAAACUCAAAUGAAUUGACGGGGGCCCGCACAAGCGGUGGAGCAUGUGGUUUAAUUCGAUGCAACGCGAAGAACCUUACCUGGUCUUGACAUCCACAGAACUUAGCAGAGAUGCUUUGGUGCCUUCGGGAACUGUGAGACAGGUGCUGCAUGGCUGUCGUCAGCUCGUGUUGUGAAAUGUUGGGUUAAGUCCCGCAACGAGCGCAACCCUUAUCCUUUGUUGCCAGCGGUUAGGCCGGGAACUCAAAGGAGACUGCCAGUGAUAAACUGGAGGAAGGUGGGGAUGACGUCAAGUCAUCAUGGCCCUUACGACCAGGGCUACACACGUGCUACAAUGGCAUAUACAAAGAGAAGCGACCUCGCGAGAGCAAGCGGACCUCAUAAAGUAUGUCGUAGUCCGGAUUGGAGUCUGCAACUCGACUCCAUGAAGUCGGAAUCGCUAGUAAUCGUAGAUCAGAAUGCUACGGUGAAUACGUUCCCGGGCCUUGUACACACCGCCCGUCACACCAUGGGAGUGGGUUGCAAAAGAAGUAGGUAGCUUAACCUUCGGGAGGGCGCUUACCACUUUGUGAUUCAUGACCGGGGUGA
Molecule: ribosomal RNA, 1463 nt
Filed under: uncultured Klebsiella sp.
Lineage: Bacteria; Pseudomonadati; Pseudomonadota; Gammaproteobacteria; Enterobacterales; Enterobacteriaceae
Description: bacterial SSU rRNA
Rfam family: Bacterial small subunit ribosomal RNA
Source: RNAcentral